This 1558-nucleotide ribosomal RNA is filed under the name Murina ussuriensis (Ussurian tube-nosed bat). RNAcentral describes it as "16S ribosomal RNA". It matches the Rfam family "Bacterial large subunit ribosomal RNA". The record is from RNAcentral. Lineage: Eukaryota; Metazoa; Chordata; Mammalia; Chiroptera; Vespertilionidae.
AACUAGAAAUAGCCCAAAAAAUACUCCAAAUUACUACCCCAAUAACAUUAAAUAAAUCAUUUAUGAAAUUAAAGUAUAGGUGAUAGAAAUUCUAUUUGACGCUAUAGAAAUAGUACCGCAAGGGAAAAAAUGAAAGAAACCUGUAAGUUAAAAACAGCAAAGCUUAAUCCUUGUACCUUUUGCAUAAUGACUCAACUAGAAAAUAUUUGCAAAAAGAAUUUAAGUUAAUCUACCCGAAACCAGACGAGCUAUCCUCUAGCAGUUCAACAGGACAAACUCAUCUAUGUGGCAAAAUAGCGAGAAGACUAGGAGAUAGUGGUGAAAAGCCUAUCGAGCCUGGUGAUAGCUGGUUGUCCAGAAUAGAACUUUAGUUCUAAUUUAAGCUUACUAUAAGACAAACAAAUUAAAAUGUAAACUUAAAUGUUAGUCUAAAAGGGUACAGCCUUUUAGACACAGGAUACAACCUUUAUUAGAGAGGAAAUAGAUAAAUAAACUAUCCCAGUUGGCCUAAAAGCAGCCAUCAAACAAGAAAGCGUUCAAGCUCAAUAGUAUAAAAACACUAAUUUCAUUUAUUCAAGAGCACUCCUAAUAUAAAACUGGACCAUUCUAUUCUCUAAAUAGAAGAAAUAAUGUUGAUACAAGUAACAAGAACCAUUUCUCCCCGCACAAGUGUAUAUCAGAACGAAUCCAUCACUGAUAAUUACCAAAAGAACAUAACCAAAUAAUUAAACUUUCUAAUUCAAAUGUUAGCCCAACACAGGAGUGCAAGUAGGGAAAGAUUAAAAGAAGUAAAAGGAACUCGGCAAACACAAAUCCCGCCUGUUUACCAAAAACAUCACCUCUAGCAUGAAAAAUAUUAGAGGCAAUGCCUGCCCAGUGACAUUAGUUUAACGGCCGCGGUAUCCUGACCGUGCAAAGGUAGCAUAAUCACUUGUUCUCUAAAUAAGGACUUGUAUGAAUGGCUUCACGAGGAUUUUACUGUCUCUUACUUCUAAUCAGUGAAACUGACUUUCCCGUGAAGAGGCGGGAAUUAACAAAUAAGACGAGAAGACCCUAUGGAGCUUUAAUUAAUUAACUCACAAGUGAUAAUACUAUCCUAUAAAGGACUAAAAUUUCACAAACUGAGCUAACAAUUUAGGUUGGGGUGACCUCGGAAUAAAGAAUAACUUCCGAGAAAUUUAAUUAAGACAUACAAGUCAAAAUUACUUCAUAUCAUAUUGAUCCGUCAAAGACGACCAACGGAACAAGUUACCCUAGGGAUAACAGCGCAAUCCUAUUUAAGAGUCCAUAUCGACAAUUAGGGUUUACGACCUCGAUGUUGGAUCAGGACAUCCCAAUGGUGCAGCAGCUAUUAAUGUGUUCGUUUGUUCAACGAUUAAAGUCCUACGUGAUCUGAGUUCAGACCGGAGUAAUCCAGGUCGGUUUCUAUCUAUUUUUAAGUCUUUCCCAGUACGAAAGGACAAGAAAGACGAGGUCAACUUAAACUAAGCACCUCCCAAAGCAGAUGAACUAAUCUCAAACUAAUAAAUAUAAAAUACCACCCAAGAAAUAGGGUUUA